CUUCGUGAUUCAUUCAAUACUUGAGAGCGAAAGCAAGGGGAGAGAACCUGAUCCGCGAAUUGGGACGUUUUGAUCCGAUUAGGGUUUUACCAAAAGCACUUGGUCAAGUUCAGCCAUAUUCGGUCUGAGAUCGGAUGGCACCGCCUCCAGGCCCUUAUUCUGGCACCAGCACUCUCGCUCUGGUGGCUCGUGCAUCAGCAUUCACUUUAGGUGUGGUCUAUGGAAGCCUGAAGCUUAAGAUUCUCAAAGCAAAGGCAAAGUCACAUCAGAAAGCUGACGCAAAGGCUCAUCACUGAUGGCUGUGCUGUGGCGGUACUUACAUUUUUUGGGGCCUCUGGCAGGAAGGAGAGGGCUUGUGUUUCUUUUAUAAGAUGAAGAUUGUUUUUAAGAGUAUUGCAGGACCUAUAAUUUUAUUUUACUCAUUUUGUGAGUUUUUAUUUUAAAUUUAAAUUUCUUAAUUUUUAACAUAUCAAUAAUUAAUAUGUAGAUAAAUAUAUAUAUAUAUAUAUAUUUUUAAGUACAGUUGACUUUUUUUUCUUGAUUACGAGGGUUAAAGGAUAUUUGUUGUCAAGUAUUGAUAUAAACACAAUACAUUUCGUAACAAUGUUGUAAGAUAAAGAGUAUUUUUAUAAAGUAACGUUAUUUU
Long non-coding RNA from Juglans regia (Persian walnut), 646 nucleotides. RefSeq lists it as uncharacterized. The transcript is spliced from 3 exons. Lineage: Eukaryota; Viridiplantae; Streptophyta; Magnoliopsida; Fagales; Juglandaceae. The record is from RefSeq and is a predicted model, not a curated record.